RNAcentral lists this long non-coding RNA (622 nucleotides) under Mus musculus (house mouse). RNAcentral's name for it is "predicted gene 53059 (Gm53059)". The record is from RNAcentral. Lineage: Eukaryota; Metazoa; Chordata; Mammalia; Rodentia; Muridae.
UUGGAGGAGCGGAGCUGGGACCUGUGGCAGCUGCUGUGUGCCCACAGGGCUGAGGUGUGGGGCUGCUCCUGGACUCUCUUCCCCCAGGAGGAGCUGGAGAGUAGAUGCCCCUCCCUGUUCUCUGGCUCUGCAGCGUGCCAGACACACAGCAGGUCUCUAGGAAACACUGCAACACUGCUGACACUGAUAUGACCAGAAAAUCCAGCCAUGAAGCCGUGUGUCUGGUGACCGCUAGAGAGAGCUGAAAGGCAAGCAUCUAAAGCCAUUUUGAAGCACAACUUCCUCACCCCUUAGAAGGGAAGAAGUUUUCCCGCUGAUACUCCUUUGGAAAUGAACACGCUACAUAGUGAAUGAAGUGGACAAGUCCUUAGCUUUCCUUGUCACUGAUGAACUGUGGAUCUGUAAGAGCCCCUUCCUAAGCCUCAUGGAGAUUCCCCAUUUCAGAUCGAGAUAAAAAGUGACUUUAGGGUCGCUCUUGGCUUCGACAGUCUUGUCUCUCUCAUGUAUCCCCUUUUGUUCCAGACUGUGCCUGUGGGGUUGUGUAACUGAGCUAUUCUAACAUCAUUAAGUAGCCCAGCAAUAAAAUAAAGGAGGACAGAUGGCGGUCCAUUGUAUUUGUGAA